RNAcentral lists this non-coding RNA (21 nucleotides) under Caenorhabditis elegans. The record is from RNAcentral. Lineage: Eukaryota; Metazoa; Nematoda; Chromadorea; Rhabditida; Rhabditidae.
UAGAACUGCUUUUAUUUAUUG